RNAcentral lists this ribosomal RNA (253 nucleotides) under uncultured bacterium. Its description in RNAcentral is "partial 16S ribosomal RNA". It matches the Rfam family "Bacterial small subunit ribosomal RNA", at positions 524 to 776 of the family's 1533-position model. The record is from RNAcentral.
UACGGGGGGGGCAAGCGUUGUUCGGAAUUACUGGGCGUAAAGGGUUCGUAGGUGGCUCGCUAAGUCAGACGUGAAAUCCCUCAGCUUAACUGGGAACUGCGUCUGAGACUGGCAAGCUUGAGUGCAGGAGAGGAACGCGGAAUUCCAGGUGUAGCGGUGAAAUGCGUAGAUAUCCGGAGGAACACCGGUGGCGAAGGCGGCGUUCUGGACUGUAACUGACACUGAGUGAACGAAAGCCAGGGGAGCAAACGGG